This 352-nucleotide transfer-messenger RNA is filed under the name Opitutaceae. RNAcentral's name for it is "Lacunisphaera lenta Standard tmRNA". It matches the Rfam family "transfer-messenger RNA". From Rfam's summary of the family: Bacterial tmRNA, also known as 10Sa RNA or SsrA, is named for its dual tRNA and mRNA-like properties. Its role is to liberate the mRNA from a stalled ribosome. To accomplish this part of the tmRNA is used as a reading frame that ends in a translation stop signal. Lineage: Bacteria; Pseudomonadati; Verrucomicrobiota; Opitutia; Opitutales. The record is from RNAcentral. RNAcentral also lists the same sequence under 1 other name.
GGGGGUGUUCCGGAUUCGACCCUUGGUUGGAGUGCGCGGCUGCCUUUGGAGAGUCGGGGGACUCUCUUUAAUCCACCCUCGAAAAAACAAACGGCAACAACGAAGAAAUGCUCAUGGCGGCUUAAUGCCCGUCACGUUCUCACUCUGACUCCUGCUAGGGGCUGAGAACGACGACAGCAGGAAUAGCGGUGAGGGCCAUCGUGACCUCGCCGCCGUAUCUUCAACCACGGUUGGCUGGUCGGGGAGCGCGCGUUGAAGCGCCCCGGUCGGCGAGAUCAAACCAACGCUAUAAAGGUAGAUGCCGUGCGCGAAGGCCCGGGGCACAGGGGUUCAACUCCCCUCACCUCCACCA